Molecule: long non-coding RNA, 389 nt
Organism: Peromyscus leucopus (white-footed mouse)
Lineage: Eukaryota; Metazoa; Chordata; Mammalia; Rodentia; Cricetidae
Exons: 4
Source: RefSeq, a predicted model, not a curated record
UGCUAUCCUGUUCUGAGCUCUCCGUGAGAUGGCCUUCCUGAUCUCAGGAGUCAUCCUGCUCUGUCCUGGUUCGCAGAUUGAGGCCUGAGCAGGUCUUGACUUUUCUCUCCCACUUCUCACAGAGGAUCCCAAAGGAGGAACAAGGAUAAGCCACCAAGAGUCCGAGUGAGAUGCCCCACAGCUCUGCCUCCUGUCUCCUGCAAGCUGCACACUCUGCCGCGAGGCCCUGUGUGCCCGGAGCCAGCUGCUGCUGUUGUCCCAAUCGCCACAGCCCGUAGCCUCCUGCGCAUCAGAGUCCUGGAAGGCCCUGGCCCUCACCAGGUCAGAGGGGCCCCUGGAGGAAGCAGCUGGCGCCUGGAGACCCAGAACCCCGAGUGAGGACAGCGCCA